Molecule: non-coding RNA, 31 nt
Filed under: Homo sapiens (human)
Lineage: Eukaryota; Metazoa; Chordata; Mammalia; Primates; Hominidae
Source: RNAcentral
UAAACGUGGAAUUCUGGGCAUGCAGCUCAUA